Molecule: long non-coding RNA, 1005 nt
Filed under: Zonotrichia albicollis (white-throated sparrow)
Lineage: Eukaryota; Metazoa; Chordata; Aves; Passeriformes; Passerellidae
Description: lncRNA (ENSZALG00000003705.1)
Source: RNAcentral
AUGACGCCGGGCACGCAGGGAGGCAAUGCUGGAGCUGUGUGGGCUUUGCCUGUUGUUUUUAGGCUGUGCUGCCAUCCAGCAGCUGGGAUACCAUGGGCAAACCUGCUCAGCAUCCCGGGCCUGAUGCCAGGGAGGAUCAGCUGUGCCUCCUACCCGGGUCGGGAAUUUCCACUCGCUCUGUGGGCAGACCGUGGGGAACCACUGGCAGUGCCUGGCACAGAUGGGACACUGGAAUGUGCCCUGUCCCUAUGGGAAACUAAUCUCUCCAGAGGUGCAAAUCCAAAGUUUUGCCCUCAGAAAUGGGGACGUGGGUUCUCAGAUUUUUUUUUUUUUUUUUUGCCAUGCUGCUUAGCCCAUGGCAUUGCUGCUGCUCUGCUCCUGCUGCUCUGCCUUGGAGCUCCCGGUUCCAGGCUCUGCUGGAGGCGAUGCCGAGGUUCACACAGCGUCGGGGCUGGGGGCUGCACCCCGGGGACGGGGGCUCCUGGCUGCUGUGCUUCUUCCCGCAGCUGCAGCCGGUGUUUCCCUGUGGCAGGAGGCGGGGGAGCGGGGCCACGGCAUGGAAAGUUGGCAGCCGGCGGAGAGGGGAGUGGAAAGAAUGAGCUCAAACCCAGAAAAAUGCGGCCGUGCUGGAGGAUGGGAGGAGUGGGAGGAGAGGCCAAGGGGGGCCACGGUGAGCGCUGGGAAAGGAGAGAGGCUGGGAGGAGGUGCUGGCAGGGGGCCCGGGGCUGCCUGUGCUGGGCCCGCUCUGGGGAAGGUGGUGCCACUCUCGGCGGUACCAGCUGCUCCAGCGAGCGCUCCGGGGCUGUCCCAGUGCCAUCAGCCUCUGGGUGGCCCCUGUGUGCUGUCUACCCCUGGGUGGCCAUCGCUCCCAAUGCCGUCCAUCCCUGGGUACCCACCAGCCCCAGCACAGUCUCCUGCCAUGCCAAGGGCUCCCUGGUGGCCACCGUGGGACAGCAGCCCCUGACUCGCCCAUCUCGCUCUGCACAGCCACACCACCCUUUGUGA